AACGAACGCUGGCGGCAUGCCUAACACAUGCAAGUCGAACGAGACCUUCGGGUCUAGUGGCGCACGGGUGCGUAACGCGUGGGAACCUGCCCUUAGGUUCGGAAUAACUCCCCGAAAGGGGUGCUAAUACCGGAUAAUGUCUUCGGACCAAGAUUUAUCGCCUUUGGAUGGGCCCGCGUUGGAUUAGCUAGUUGGUAGGGUAAAAGCCUACCAAGGCGACGAUCCAUAGCUGGUCUGAGAGGAUGAUCAGCCACACUGGGACUGAGACACGGCCCAGACUCCUACGGGAGGCAGCAGUGGGGAAUAUUGGACAAUGGGCGAAAGCCUGAUCCAGCAAUGCCGCGUGAGUGAUGAAGGCCUUAGGGUUGUAAAGCUCUUUUACCCGGGAUGAUAAUGACAGUACCGGGAGAAUAAGCGCCGGCUAACUCCGUG
This 432-nucleotide ribosomal RNA is filed under the name uncultured bacterium. RNAcentral describes it as "partial 16S ribosomal RNA". It matches the Rfam family "Bacterial small subunit ribosomal RNA", at positions 29 to 507 of the family's 1533-position model. The record is from RNAcentral.